This 101-nucleotide small nuclear RNA is filed under the name Chinchilla lanigera (long-tailed chinchilla). Lineage: Eukaryota; Metazoa; Chordata; Mammalia; Rodentia; Chinchillidae. The record is from RNAcentral.
CUGCUUGCUUGGGCAGCACAUAUACUAAAACUAAAACAAUACAGAUGAGUAUUGCCCCUCUAUAAGAAUGACACACAAUUCAUGAAAUGCUUCAUAUUUUU